UUUAGCUUCGGACCGUCCUUCGGAUCACAUCGGCUAAAUAUCGAUCAAAAUCGCGGCGUCGUUAACGUAUUUACUGCAGAGAGCCAAUUCACCAGGCGUGAGGACAAGGAUCUAUUAGGAAUUAGGUUAGAAUAUCACAAUCAUGGCAUCUUCAUCGGUUGUAAGGGGACCUGCUGGUAACAAUGACUGCAGGAUAUACGUGGGAAACCUUCCACCUGAUAUCCGGGAAAAAGACAUCGAAGACAUGUUCUACAAGUUUGGCUCCAUCGCAGACAUCGACUUGAAGAAUAAGAGGCCACCAUCAUUCUCAGGCUCUGGUUCAGAAAGGGAACGAUUCGGAACACCAUUUGCCUUUGUAGAGUUCCAUGACAGAAGAGAUGCAGAUGAAGCAGUGACAGCACGAGAUGGCUACAACUAUGAUGGAUACAGGAUACGUGUUGAGUUUCCAAGGGGUACCAAAGGCUUCAAGGGCAGUCGUCCAAGGGGACCACCACCAAGGAGAUCAUCAUAUCGCUGCAUGGUGCAAGGUCUGCCUUCAACAGGUAGUUGGCAAGAUCUCAAGGAUCACAUGCGGGAGGCAGGCGACGUAUGCUAUGCUGAUGUGUACAGAGAUGGAACAGGUGUUGUGGAGUUUCUCAGACCAGAGGAUAUGAAGUAUGCUGUCAAACAGCUAGAUGAUACCAAGUUCAGAUCACAUGAGGGAGAUGUCUCUUACAUCCGGGUUAAGGUUGAUCCUACCAGUGGAGGUGGGCGCUCAAGAAGUCGUUCUCCUCUGAGCCCGUACCGUGGUGGUCGUGGAGGCGGUAGCUACCGCUCCCGCAGUCGUUCCCGCAGUCCACAAUGGGGCCAUGGCAGAAAACACCGCCACCACCGAUCUCGUACCAGGUCCUUUUCUCGUUCCAGAUCCCCCAGCUCCAGGUCUCGCUCAAGAUCGCGAUCCAGAUCCCGCUCAUAGUUCCAUGGUCAACCUACGUUCCUUCUGUCGACCUCUGCCUACUGUGUUUUGACAAGGCAUUGCUGCUUGGGAGGUUGCAUUGCUUUCAUGAAGCCAUAAAACCUGUAUUGGCCCCUCCUGGAGGCAUUCAGGAAGGAAGAUCAUAAAAUCAGGAAUUAAUGAGGAGUUGGAUUUGUGAGGAUCCAAAAAAAAAAGAGAAAAAGGCACAGAUCCAUGCAAUGAAUUCAUUAUCCGGGAAUAGUUUUCACGAUCGCAAUCUGGGAGUUGGACAUUCCUUGCUCCAUGGAUCAGAAAUGUCAUGGAUUCAGGGAAUGCAUUCACAAUCCGGACUAGUUUUCAGGAGCAAAAAUUAGGAUCAGAGGAAAUUAGGCUUUGGGGAUCCAAAUAUGAUCAGGAUCUGGAGAAAUCAGGAUCAAAGCAAGGAAUCAUUCCAGGAUCAAAUUUUUUAAAGGUAUUCAGGGAUCAAUGGAAGGAUCAGAUCAGAUCGCACACCAAGGGGUCCUGAGAUCCGGAGGUUUUUGAGGGAUCAGGUCAGGUGUGGAUCGGAUCAGAAUGAAAGCACAGGUAGAAGUCCGAUGAGCAUGGUCUUGGUCUGAUGGAUCAUGGAUCAUUCUUAAUGAGAAAAAAAUAAAGAUUAUGGGAAAGGAAUCCAAAUUUUGAUGGAUCAGAUUGAGUCCUGGGAGCCUUUGAUCUCAGAAGAGAGUCAUUUACCUAUUUGGGGAUCAAAUCAGAGUUUGGAUCAUUUCAUAAGGAAAGGAUCAUUUGACGGUAUGAUUUCACUUUUGUUCAAAUUAAUAUCUGUAUUCUACACUUUCAUGUAUAUAUUUAUAUUUUCAUAUGCACACUUGUCUGCAUUUUGGUUUUGAUGUUUUGUGGCAGUGUUGUGUUGUCCUUUAGAUAUUCACAAUUUUUUUAAAAGCAGAAUUGAAAUAAAGAAUCCCCUCCACUCCA
Molecule: unclassified non-coding RNA, 1906 nt
Filed under: Lytechinus variegatus (green sea urchin)
Lineage: Eukaryota; Metazoa; Echinodermata; Echinoidea; Temnopleuroida; Toxopneustidae
Description: serine/arginine-rich splicing factor 1-like, transcript variant X1
Source: RNAcentral